Pelobates cultripes (western spadefoot toad) is the source of this 214-nucleotide non-coding RNA. Lineage: Eukaryota; Metazoa; Chordata; Amphibia; Anura; Pelobatidae. The record is from the annotation of a GenBank genome assembly.
GGUCUAAAUUGUAGUUUUGAUUAGGAGAGAAAGGAGAUGGGGCACUGACUCCAGCCUGGUUUAUAAGCUAUAGGGAAGUAAUUUUGUUCAUAAUUGAACCACUGACAAGAGGAAGAACUAAUCUGUCUUUAUAGAGGGGUAGUGCUUUUACAUUCUUUAUGUUUAAAUUUCAUUUUGACAUGCCUUUACCUAUGCUUGGUAGCCCACAGUGGGC